This 254-nucleotide ribosomal RNA is filed under the name uncultured bacterium. RNAcentral describes it as "partial 16S ribosomal RNA". It matches the Rfam family "Bacterial small subunit ribosomal RNA", at positions 524 to 776 of the family's 1533-position model. The record is from RNAcentral.
UACGGGGGGGGCAAGCGUUGUUCGGAAUUACUGGGCGUAAAGGGCUCGUAGGCGGCCAACUAAGUCAGACGUGAAAUCCCUCGGCUUAACCGGGGAACUGCGUCUGAUACUGGAUGGCUUGAGAUUGGGAGAGGGAUGCGGAAUUCCAGGUGUAGCGGUGAAAUGCGUAGAUAUCUGGAGGAACACCGGUGGCGAAGGCGGCAUCCUAGACCAACACUGACGCUGAGUGAGCGAAAGCCAGGGGAGCAAACGGG